RNAcentral lists this ribosomal RNA (253 nucleotides) under uncultured bacterium. Its description in RNAcentral is "partial 16S ribosomal RNA". It matches the Rfam family "Bacterial small subunit ribosomal RNA", at positions 524 to 776 of the family's 1533-position model. The record is from RNAcentral.
UACGGGGGGGGCAAGCGUUGUUCGGAAUUACUGGGCGUAAAGCGCACGUAGGCGGCUUUGCAAGUCAGAGGUGAAAGCCCGGGGCUCAACCCCGGAAUAGCCUUUGAGACUGCAUCGCUUGAACAUCGGAGAGGUAAGUGGAAUUCCGAGUGUAGAGGUGAAAUUCGUAGAUAUUCGGAAGAACACCAGUGGCGAAGGCGACUUACUGGGCGAUUGUUGACGCUGAGGUGCGAAAGCGUGGGGAGCAAACAGG